Molecule: ribosomal RNA, 429 nt
Filed under: Verrucomicrobiota bacterium
Lineage: Bacteria; Pseudomonadati; Verrucomicrobiota
Description: Verrucomicrobia bacterium partial 16S ribosomal RNA
Rfam family: Bacterial small subunit ribosomal RNA
Source: RNAcentral
UAGGGAAUCUUCCGCAAUGGACGAAAGUCUGACGGAGCAACGCCGCGUGAGUGAAGAAGGAUUUCGGUUCGUAAAACUCUGUUGUUAGGGAAGAAAAAAUGUAUAGUAACUAUAUACAAAAGAGACGGUACCUAACCAGAAAGCCACGGCUAACUACGUGCCAGCAGCCGCGGUAAUACGUAGGUGGCAAGCGUUGUCCGGAAUUAUUGGGCGUAAAGCGCGCGCAGGUGGUUUAGAAAGUCUGAUGUGAAAGCCCACGGCUCAACCGUGGAGGGUCAUUGGAAACUAAUAAACUUGAGUGCAGGAGAGAAAAGUGGAAUUCCUAGUGUAGCGGUGAAAUGCGUAGAGAUUAGGAGGAACACCGGUGGCGAAAGCGGCUUUUUGGCCUGCAACUGACAUUGAGGCGCGAAAGCGUGGGGAGCAAACAGG